RNAcentral lists this unclassified non-coding RNA (324 nucleotides) under soil metagenome. Its description in RNAcentral is "partial contains 5.8S ribosomal RNA, internal transcribed spacer 2, and large subunit ribosomal RNA". The stretch from base 5 to 119 matches the Rfam family "5.8S ribosomal RNA", at positions 40 to 154 of the family's 154-position model. The record is from RNAcentral.
GAUGAGAACGUAGCGAAAUGCGAUAAGUAAUGUGAAUUGCAGAAUUCAGUGAAUCAUCGAAUCUUUGAACGCACAUUGCGCCCCUUGGUAUUCCGAGGGGCAUGCCUGUUCGAGCGUCAUAUUAACCACUCCCGCUUGCGGGGUCUUGGGCUUCGCCUCCGGGCGGGCCUUAAAAUCAGUGGCGGUGCCGUCGGGCUCUACGCGUAGUAAAUUUUCUCGCGAUAGGGUCCCGGUGGAUGCUUGCCAACAACCCCCAACUUCUUAAGGUUGACCUCGGAUCAGGUAGGGAUACCCGCUGAACUUAAGCAUAUCAAAAGCGGAGGA